RNAcentral lists this ribosomal RNA (325 nucleotides) under Cercozoa sp. RNAcentral describes it as "SSU rRNA". The stretch from base 57 to 325 matches the Rfam family "Eukaryotic small subunit ribosomal RNA", at positions 686 to 955 of the family's 1831-position model. Lineage: Eukaryota; Cercozoa. The record is from RNAcentral.
AAUUUCUGGUACGAUGCAUUUGGCCCGGCGGCUUCGGUCGUUUGUGUGCUAGAGCGCAUCUGCCAUCCUUGUAGAUCGUUUUCUACUGCCCUUCGUUGUGUGGUAGAUACGGUUUAGAUCUUUUACUUUGAAAAAAUUAGAGUGUUUCAAGCAGGCUUUAUGCUAUGAAUACAUUAGCAUGGAAUAAUAAUUUAGGACUUCGGUUCUAUUUUGUUGGUUUCUAGGACUGAAGUAAUGAUUGAUAGGGAUAGUUGGGGGUGCUAGUAUUCAGCGGCCAGAGGUGAAAUUCUCGGAUUCGCUGAAGACUAACUUAUGCGAAAGCAUU